CUGUGAGGGGAGUGAAAUAGAUCCUGAAACCGCAUGCAUACAAGCAGUGGGAGCCGACUUGUUCGGUGACUGCGUACCUUUUGUAUAAUGGGUCAGCGACUUACAUUCAGUAGCGAGGUUAACCGAAUAGGGGAGCCGUAGAGAAAUCGAGUCUUAAUAGGGCGUUUAGUUGCUGGGUGUAGACCCGAAACCGGGUGAUCUAUCCAUGAGCAGGUUGAAGGUUGGGUAACACUAACUGGAGGACCGAACCCACUGUCGUUGAAAAGCCAGGGGAUGACUUGUGGAUAGGGGUGAAAGGCUAAUCAAACUCGGUGAUAGCUGGUUCUCCCCGAAAGCUAUUUAGGUAGCGCCUCGGACGAAUACCAUUGGGGGUAGAGCACUGUUUCGGCUAGGGGGUCAUCCCGACUUACCAAACCGAUGCAAACUCCGAAUACCAAUGAGUACUAUCCGGGAGACAGACUGCGGGUGCUAACGUCCGUAGUCAAGAGGAAAACAAUCCAGACCGCCAGCUAAGGCCCCAAAAUUAUAGUUAAGUGGGAAACGAUGUGGGAAGGCAUAGACAGCUAGGAGGUUGGCUUAGAAGCAGCCACCCUUUAAAGAAAGCGUAAUAGCUCACUAGUCGAGUCGGCCUGCGCGGAAGAUGUAACGGGGCUAAAACUAUAUGCCGAAGCUGCGGAUUUGCAAUUUAUUGCAAGUGGUAGGGGAGCGUUCUGUAAGCCGAUGAAGGUGUAUUGAGAAGUAUGCUGGAGGUAUCAGAAGUGCGAAUGCUGACGUGAGUAACGACAAUGCGAGUGAAAAACUCGCACGCUGAAAGACCAAGGGUUCCAGUCCAACGUUAAUCGGGGCUGGGUGAGUCGACCCCUAAGGCGAGGCCGAGAGGCGUAGUCGAUGGGAAAUUGGUUAAUAUUCCAAUACUUCUAUGUAAUGCGAUGAGAGGACGGAGAAGGUUAAGUCAGCCUGGCGUUGGUUGUCCAGGUGGAAGACAGUAGGCAUGCAUCUUAGGCAAAUCCGGGGUGCUCUAUGCUGAGAGUCGAUAUCAAGCUGUACUUGUACAGUGAAGUGGCUGAUACCAUGCUUCCAGGAAAAGUCUCUAAGCUUCAGUUACAUAGGAAUCGUACCCGAAACCGACACAGGUGGUCAGGUCGAGUAGACCAAAGCGCUUGAGAGAACUCUGCUGAAGGAACUAGGCAAAAUGGUACCGUAACUUCGGGAGAAGGUACGCUGCUGACGGUGAUAGGAUUUACUCCUUGAGCUAUUGGCAGCCACAGAAACCAGGCCCCUGCAACUGUUUAUUAAAAACAUAGCACUCUGCAAACACGAAAGUGGACGUAUAGGGUGUGAUGCCUGCCCGGUGCUGGAAGGUUAAUUGAUGGGGUUAGCGUAAGCGAAGCUCUUGAUCGAAGCCCCAGUAAACGGCGGCCGUAACUAUAACGGUCCUAAGGUAGCGAAAUUCCUUGUCGGGUAAGUUCCGACCCG
RNAcentral lists this ribosomal RNA (1476 nucleotides) under bacterium LRH843. RNAcentral describes it as "partial 23S ribosomal RNA". It matches the Rfam family "Bacterial large subunit ribosomal RNA", at positions 527 to 1990 of the family's 2925-position model. The record is from RNAcentral.